Molecule: long non-coding RNA, 1183 nt
Organism: Bos taurus (domestic cattle)
Lineage: Eukaryota; Metazoa; Chordata; Mammalia; Artiodactyla; Bovidae
Source: Ensembl
GUCCAUUUUUUACACGUUAUCUUAUCUAUUUUAUUGCCAUAUCGUUGUUCAUAAUAGUCUCUUAUAAUCCUUUGUAUUUCUUCAUCAUCUGUUGUAAUCUCUCCUUUUUCAUUUCUAAUUUUAUUGAUUUGAUUCUUCUCUCUUUUUUUCUUGAUGAGUCUGGCUAAAGGCUUGUCAAUUUUGUUUAUCUUCUCAAAGAAACAGCUUUCAGUUUUAUUAAUCUUUACUGUUUCUUUCAUUUCUUUUUUAUUUAUUUCUGCUCAGAUCUUUCCUUCUACUAAUUUUUUUUGUUCUUCUUUUUCCAGUUGUUUUAGGUGUAAAGUUAGGUUGUCUUAUUCGAUGUUUUUCUUGUUUCUUGAGGUAGGAUUGUAUUGCUAUAAAAUUCCCUCUUGGAACCGCAUUUGCUGCAUCCCAUAGGUUUUGAGUUAUUGUGUUUUCAUUGUCAUUUGUUUCUAGAAAUUUUUUUAUUUCCCUUUUGAUUUCUUCAGUAACCUGUUGGUCAUUUAGAAAUGUGCUGUUUAAUCUCCAUGUAUUUGUGUUUCUUACAGUUUUUUUCCUUGUAAUGGAUAUCUAGUCUCAUAGCAUUCUGGUCGGAGAAGAUGCUUGAUAUGAUUUCAAUUUUAUUAAAUUUACUGAGAUUUGAUUUGUGACCCAAGAUGUGGUCUAUCCUGAAGAAUGUUCCAUGUGCACUUGAAAAGAAGGUGUAUUCUUCUGCAUUUGGAUGGAAUGUCCUGAAGAUAUCAAUGAGAUCCAUUUCAUCUAAUGUAUCAUUUAAGACUUGUGUUUCCUUAUUGAUUUUGUUUUGAUGAUCUGUCCAUUGGUGUGAUUGGGGUGUUAAAGUCUCCUACUAUUAUUGUGUUACUGUCAAUUUCUCUUUUUAUGUCUGUUAGUCUUUGCCUUAUGUAUUGAGCUGCUUCUAUGUUGGGUGCAUAGAUAUUUACAAUUGUUAUGUCUUCCUGUUGGAUUGAUCCCUUGAUCAUUAUGUAGUGUCCUUCCUUAUCUUUUGUAAUCUUCUUUAUUUUAAGAUCUAUUUUGUCUGAUAUGAGGUUUGCUACUCCGGCUUUCUUUUGCUUCUCAUUUGCAUGGAAUGUGUUUUUCCAUCCUCUCACUUUCAGUCUAUUUAUGUCUUUAGGUCUGAAGUGGAUUUCUUGUAGGCAGCAUAUAUAUGGGUCUUGUUUUUGUA